RNAcentral lists this ribosomal RNA (505 nucleotides) under uncultured bacterium. RNAcentral describes it as "partial 16S ribosomal RNA". It matches the Rfam family "Bacterial small subunit ribosomal RNA", at positions 28 to 507 of the family's 1533-position model. The record is from RNAcentral.
GACGAACGCUGGCGGCGUGCCUAAUACAUGCAAGUCGAACGCACAGUUUAUACCGUAGCUUGCUACACCAUAGACUGUGAGUUGCGAACGGGUGAGUAACGCGUAGGUAACCUGCCUGGUAGCGGGGGAUAACUAUUGGAAACGAUAGCUAAUACCGCAUAAUAUUGAUUAUUGCAUGAUAAUUGAUUGAAAGAUGCUAUUGCAUCACUACCAGAUGGACCUGCGUUGUAUUAGCUAGUAGGUGAGGUAACGGCUCACCUAGGCGACGAUACAUAGCCGACCUGAGAGGGUGAUCGGCCACACUGGGACUGAGACACGGCCCAGACUCCUACGGGAGGCAGCAGGAGGGAAUCUUCGGCAAUGGACGAAAGUCUGACCGAGCAACGCCGCGUGAGUGAAGAAGGUUUUCGGAUCGUAAAGCUCUGUUGUAAGAGAAGAACGGGUGUGAGAGUGGAAAGUUCACACUGUGACGGUAUCUUACCAGAAAGGGACGGCUAACUACGUG